CAGUAGCCACGGGAAAACGUAGGGCGCAAGCGUUGUCCGGAAUUAUUGGGCGUAAAGAGCUCGUAGGCGGUCUGUCGCGUCUGGUGUGAAAUCCCGAGGCUCAACCUCGGGCUUGCAUCGGGUACGGGCAGACUAGAGUGCGGUAGGGGAGACUGGAAUUCCUGGUGUAGCGGUGGAAUGCGCAGAUAUCAGGAGGAACACCGAUGGCGAAGGCAGGUCUCUGGGCCGCAACUGACGCUGAGGAGCGAAAGCAUGGGGAGCGAACAGGAUUAGAUACCCCUGUAGUCCCUGUCUCUUAUAC
Molecule: ribosomal RNA, 301 nt
Filed under: uncultured bacterium
Lineage: Bacteria
Description: partial 16S ribosomal RNA
Rfam family: Bacterial small subunit ribosomal RNA
Source: RNAcentral